AAAUUACUUCUUUCAAGAACGAGUUCAUGUCCUUUGCAGGGACAUGGAUGAAGCUGGAAGGCACCAUUCUCAGCAAACUAACACAGGAACAGAAAACCAAACACCGCAUGUUUUCACUCAUAAAU
This 125-nucleotide long non-coding RNA is filed under the name Pongo abelii (Sumatran orangutan). RNAcentral's name for it is "lincRNA". Lineage: Eukaryota; Metazoa; Chordata; Mammalia; Primates; Hominidae. The record is from RNAcentral.